Long non-coding RNA from Diospyros lotus (date-plum), 2374 nucleotides. RefSeq lists it as uncharacterized. The record is from RefSeq and is a predicted model, not a curated record. Lineage: Eukaryota; Viridiplantae; Streptophyta; Magnoliopsida; Ericales; Ebenaceae. The transcript is spliced from 3 exons.
UAAUUUUCAAAAAAUUAUGAGCUGUUUCAGAAUUUACCAAAAUUUGCUAGCUGGAAACGCGUUUCUGCCACACAAUUUGAUGAAGUCCUAAUCUAAACCCCUUUUUUCCUCGCUUCUUCUUCUUCUUCUUCCAAUUCGAUCGUCCUCGUUGUCAUCUGCUUCCAAUCCGAUUGCUUCGUCGCCCUCGCCGUUGUCUACUUCGUCGCACUCACCGCCGUCUGCUUCAAGAGCCUCUCGCUUCGGUGCACCCUUGAUUCCGGUCGUCCUUGCCGUUUGCUUCCGGAGCUAGUUCAUGAAACCCAAUGAACUCCAGAAAUUCGAUGCCGCCAUGAUGGGGACAUGGACACUUCUUCGACUGCCUCAGGGUCCAACUGGAUAUGUUGGGACAAUGAUCUUGAUGGUGGAAAAGUGGAACAAUAGAUUUCGAAUGAUCUAUGUCAAGUUGGCAAGCAUGUGUUUAGAAUAUAAGUUAAGAUUUUGAUUUUUUGUUAGGCUAUUUAAUUGUAUGUUUGAUGACGCAAUUAAUCAAUUGGCGAUUUAGAUUUGUGUUUUAUGUUUCUAAUUUUCGUCCCUAAAUAAAGAUUACACGUCGUAUUGAAGGGUAAGAUAAAUUCAUGCACUCAUUUCCUUUAAUUUAUAAUCCCUUGAUUCAUUUUGGUUGAUACUUAUUUCAUGGUUGCUCAAGAGUCCUAGUUGUUCAGUUCUUGGGCUACUUGGCGUUGCAACUUGAUUGGUCAGACCUAUGAUCUAUUAUUCUCUAUUGUAUAACACAGAUCUGUUAGUUUUUUGGUGUUGUAGGGAUGAUUAUUAUGAUGUCUUUUUUUUGUUGAACAAGAUGACCUCCAAAGAACCAUAGUGCACCAAGAAGAGCCCAGUCUGGGCACAUUCUUGGUGUGGGUUUGGUGACAAUUGUAGCCAAGAGAAAUUGAUGGUUGUAACUUGAAGAUAUAUGGAUUUGGUUAUUGUUAAAGACAUUACAUCUCAUACCAUCAAGCCUCAACAGAUAGUGUAAGAGGUAAAUUAGGGAAUUUGGUGGUCCUCAAUUUUGAUUCCGGAGCAACAUUCUAAUCAUUACGAAGUAUGCUCCAAAAGGAGUCGCUAAGACCAUCAGGUUAUGCAUUCCUGGACAUGUUUAUGGUACUCUCUUCUCUUAUAGCACAUUGUCAUGUUCUAUAUUUUUUUUUUUAUUUUUUAUGUUAAAACUUUUAUAUUUAUCUCUAUUAAAAAUUUAAAAGUUUAUCUUAAGUUAAAAUUUAAAAUGCUAUAACACUUUCAGUUGACUUAGUGACCCUUUAUGCUAAUCACUUAUAUGGUGUGGCCACCAAGUCAUGCAACUGGCUCAAAUAGUGCUUCUCUUCCUUCGGUUUCUACACCCAGCUAGAUAAGUUGGGUUAGUGAUGUUGACGGUGGAAAGGCGAGACCUAAGAUUUCAAAUGAUCUCUCUUGAGUUGGAGAUGCAUUUGGAUCAGUCAACAAGAUAUGUUGGGGUAGUGAUCAUAAUGGUGGAAAGGUGGUACACUAGAUUUUGAACGAUCUAUGUAGGGUUGGUGAUGCAUGUGGUGAGAAUAUAAUUUAAGAUUUUGAUUUUUUGGAAUGAUUGUCUUGGCGUGGUCUCUCGUGCUCUCGAUUACGUCGAGGUAGAUAAAUUACAAGUGUGAGAUUUUGUCUCACUACGUAAGAAAAUAUUCGAACUCGCGCCCCAUUAGAUUGAUAAAGACAUAGCAAUUAUUCUUGCCAAUUGACCCAUGUCUUGAGGGAAAGAUUUUGAUUUUUUGUUAUUUAAUUGUUUGUUUGUUUAUGUAAUUAAUUGAUUAACGAUUGAGAUUGAUGUUUUAUUCUUUUAAUUUUCUUUUAUAGAUACAAAUUACACAUUGGAUUAGAGGGGACGAAAAUUCUUGCAUUUGUUGUCUUUACUUUGUGAUCCCUUGAUUCAUUUUUCGAUAUUUUUUUAUAGAUGUUGAAGAGUCUUAAUUGUUUUUCUUUUUUUCUCUUUCACAGUGAAAUAUUUCGUCCUCCAAAACAACUUUGAUAUAUGUUAAUGGUACUCUUUUAUCUUAAAAAGGACGCAUUGUUACACCCUAUUUAUUUUGACAUCAAGCUUUCAUGUAUAACUCUAUUAAAAAUUUAAAAUUUUAGUCUAAAUUAUAAUUUAAAAUGUCAUAUAUACAUUUUUAAUUAACUUAGUGGACUCUUAUGCUGAUCACUUAUAUGAAUAGCAUGGCCACUAAGUCACACAACCAGCUCAACACAAGUGGUCCAAUUGUUUUAUAGCAAGUGUAGAUCAAUUUCUAUCAAAAUGAUCUCACUUGUUCAUUAGUCAUACCCUAUUUAUAUAAAUUAGGGUUUUUCUCAAUUUCAAGCUUUCUAACAAUAU